GCAACCCUCUGCACACCACAGUUUGCUCCAGUCUCCAAAGCAAGCCCUGCUCCGAGUUCCCCCAUCUCCCCCAGCAGAGGAGAAGCCAGACCUCUCUCCACUUCAGGGAGCGGAUGCUUUUGGGGAGCUGGCAUAAAGGGAAUAAGGAGGGCAGGAGUUGUCACAAAGUCAAAAUGAAACUGCUCACAACACGGCUCUGUCUCCCAAGAGUGACUCAGCCGGUGAAAACCAGAAUAUUGUUCUGAGCGUCGGAAUCUGCAGAGCAGCCUCCAGGAUUUGGGUCUUAUCCAGCUUAAAUGAGCCAAAACAUUCCAGCAUCUUCCUGGGGUUCCUGAUGAAGGGCGUAUUGUCUUUUCGCUUUGGCCUUUGUUUUCGAAAGCUCUGAAGAGGCGCCCAGGAGGUCAGCAGACGGCAGCGGCUUCCUUCCCCAGGACAGCGUUCAGGCAGCCUCAAGAUGCCUCCCAGUGCUCGCCUUCUGCAAUCACCAAACCUGCGCUGCGGGCACGCUGGCUGCCACUGAGAGGCUCGGAGAACACCAGGACCCCAGCAGGAGGAAGAAAAACGCUGCUCAGGAGAAUCCUCCCUGCACCUCGCGCUGGAGGGCCAGGCACGGCAGAGUUACUCAUCAUCAGGAGCGAGUUAACUUCGAACAGGGGAGAAAUGCUUUCAGAGUAAUCAUAUUAGCCCUGGAUUCCGGAAUGCCUCUUCCAUUCUUAUAAAAGAAUUCCAUGCAGCCUUGUGCCCUCCGUAGAGCAAGGGGAGACUGACUGGUUUGCAGGUGGAGGAAAGGGACAGACACUUUUAGCUCCUGGUUUGAUUCGUGAGAAAAUUCGCCAGGUGAUCCUGGAGUGGGACCGUUUGUCUUGCGGAGUUUGCCAGGGCUCCGCGGUGCCCCUGGGUACAUGCUGGGUGCAUACGUGAGUCCAAAGUGGGCCGUCUACAAACCAGGACAAUUGGACCUGGGUCAGCCUUCAGCCCUGAUGGGGACUGGGAGAAUAGGGAGGGGAAGGACACCAGCCAACUCUUAUCUAGUUCUUCCCCUGAGCUGGACGAGGUCCCGGGCACUUCGCAUGUACUGACAUUUAACUUGAAUAAUGACCCAACAACGGAAAUACUAAUAUGAUCUCCAUUUUACAGACAGGGGCAGCGAGGCACAGAGAGGUCAAGUAACUUGCCCAAGGUCACAUAGCUAGAAAACUGCCCGUCUGGGGCGCCCCAGCUCCAUGGCAGUGAAACGAAUGCAGUCGUGAUAGUCAUGAUGACAUCACUCCCUAUCCUUGUCUGAUGAGUCCGCGUGGGGGAUCUUGGAAGGCUCCUUACAGGAAGUGGAGACAGACUCCAAGCACUCUGUUGAAAUAUUUCACCUGGGACAUCAUUGCAUUUCACGGACACUGAAGCCUCCUUCCAGGAGCAGCUGCACGGCUGCUUGGAUUCUAAAACGCAGCUCUUUCCGGAAGGAAGAGACUUUACUCUUAAGGGAGGGGUUCUUCCUACCUGGAAGCAGGACAACCACCAGCAGCUCUAAGUCUUCAUUCUACCGUGCCAGCCCCUCGAAGAAAGAGAGCUCCUCUCAUACCCCUGGUCCCGUGCUGAAUUCCAGGUAAAGCUCUCAGUGGCCUGGCCAAGGUCAUGAACCACUCUGAUGGGCCACGCUUAGGCCCCUUACCCAUCCUUGAGUUGGUGAGGAGGGGAGGAUGGAGAGCAAUAAAGGAAUAGAAAAAGAAAGGAAAAAGGAGCCCUGGGAUUCCCCCCUACUGCCUCUUCAGUGAGUACCUUUGUGCAGUGCACAACAUAUACACUGUGCAUGGACUGUGCUGACUCCUCAGGCAGCACCUGUGACUCCUGGGUUAUAGGGGGAUUUGGGGGGACACAAGCAUAAGGCAGGCCAGGAAGAUCCCCCUCCCUACUCAGGCCUGUGCCCCGCCCCCUCAUAUGGCUACGGUCCAGUGAUGUGCAUCACGACCACUCUCUCUGGCUGGGCCUGAAGGUUUCUACUUUGCCCCAGUCUCUAUCCGGUUCAUGCUACCCACUCACCUACUGGGUCCCCAGGGCUUUGGAAUUCACCCCACCCUGUGCUGACUCUGGCUGAGCAACCAACUUGCUGUGUGACCUUGGUCCAGCCGCUGCCCCUUUCUGAACCCAGUUCUCCAGUUCUUGAAACAGGGAGUAGAGGCUCCUCUCCUCUUCAAUGGCCCUCCAGGCUCCUGUGUUCUGACAGGCGUGGGAAGAUAGAGAGGGCGAUAAAGAGAAAAUAGUUCCCCUUCAUUGCCUCAUCAAGCGCUCCUUGUUGGAAAGCCAGAAUUGGAGGCCUCCUCUUUCAUCGCCUGCCUGCAUCCUCCCCAGCUGAAUGAGGCAGCUGAAUGCAGAGCAGGGAGGGUCUGGGGCUAGAGAAGCAUCCUCAGGAGGGGGCAAGAUUUCGGCUAAGCCCCAGGCCCGGUGAGCUUACGUCUGUUUUGUAGCUUUACAAGUCAGGCUUCCACUGGGCUGCAUGUAACGGAACCCGGCCACACAGUGGCUUGAUUAAGAGUGGGAUUUCUGGCCAGGUGCAGUGGCUCACGCCUGUAAUCCCAGCACUUUGGGAGGCCGAGGCGGGUGGAUCACCUGAGGUCAGGAGUUUGAGACUAGCCUGACCAAUAUGAUGAAACUCCAUCUCUCCUAAAAAUACAAAAAUUAGCUGGGCAUAGUGGCAUGUGCAUGAAGUCCCAGCUACUCGGGAGGCUGAGACAGGAGAUUCACUUGAACCCAGAAGGCAGAAGAUGCAGUGAGCUGAGAUCAUGCCACUGUACUCCACUCUGGGCGAUAGAGCAAGACUCUGUCUCAACCAUAACAAAAAAGGGUGGGAUUUCUGUUCCUCCUGCCACAGGACUGCCUGUCAUGUCCCCGUGCCCAGAACCAUCCUAAGCAUGGUGCAUAUGUCAACUCAUAAUAAACCCCUAUGCUGGGGUGAAAAGCAUCCCCCCAAAAUUCGUGUCCACCAGGUACUGUGAAUGUGGCCUAUUGGAAAUAGGUCUUUGCAGGAUGUCAUCAAGUGAAGAUGAGGUCCCACUGAAUUAAGAUAGGUCUUGAUCCAAUGACUGGUUUUUCAUAAGAGGGAGGUCGGGACCCCAGUGGAAUGGCCCCCGUGGACUGUGCCUGGAAAUGGGGUGGGAGGUGACACUCAGCUCUAGAGACAGGGCUCAAACACCAGACCAAAUUGAAGACUGGCUGAAACAGGUCUGGAUGGAAGCAGGUUUCCAUAAGCCAUGCCUACCACUGCACCAGGUCAGUUUGCCACGGCCAUGGCAACCACCCAACAACCCGGAAGUAACCACCCUCAUGCAAGACAUGUCUGCAUAAACCGCCCCUUAAUUUACAUGUACUUAAAAGCAGGUCUAGAUCUGAGUGGGGCAGUGUUCCAUGUCCAUCACCACGGGCUCGCCCUGGAAUUCUUUCUGGAUGAAGCCAAGAACCCUCCUGGGCUCAGCCCCGGUUGUGGGGCUCAUCUGCUCUGCACCAUCAGGAAGCCCCAGCAUGGGAGAGCACAGGACACUCGCCCUCAUCCAUGAAUGCCCCAUGCUCAAAGGAUGAGGGUGAGAUGAGCUCCUGCAGGGCCAGAGCUCUGCUCAGAAGCCCCCGCCCCAGCCUGCUCCCUCCGCUUCCAGCUCUGGGAAACCAGCGUAAGGGCUGCUCCCCUGCCCACCUCACAGGCAACACUCUCUACACUUCUGUGUGCCAGACAUGGUGGGGUGGUGGCAGCAGUGCCUGACCUUCAUAACCACAAUGUGAGCCUGCAGUGCUGUGGCGUUCAGGACACACCAGUGCCAUGAGGCCCUCACAAUCCCCAGCGGAGGAGCCGUGUCCCUCUUCCCAAACUGAACAGCAAGAAAUGAGGGGGCUGGAAUGGGGGCUGUGCACCCAACAGAUGCCACCCAGAGAGAACACCUUUCCCCUCUCUUCCUGCUCCCAGUGAGGGGAUCCUCUCAUGCACCCCUGGGGCUCACAUCCCACUCUGGGGAUCCCUGCUCUGUUUUUUGUUUGAAAAGCAAAAGCCAGGAAGUGAAGAGAUUUGAGACAUACCUCUUCCCUGAGACAAUGGCAUAGAACCAACUAGAGCUGGAGUAGGGGCCUAUGUGAUGGGUAAAGAGGGGAGGGAAAAAUAGUGCCGUUAACAUCUCAAUCACUGCAUCUCACGACUGAGGAACCACAGGCGCACAGGCGCUGGGUGGAAGCCUCUGCAGCCACGGAAUCAGGUUUGUGAGAAAAGGGCGAAGGCUUGUAUUCCCUUAGGCAUUCUAAGGUUAAAGGAAGAAAUCAAAUACAAAUGUAUACGUAGUAUCAACAUACAGCCAAGCUAAAAAGAAAACCAGCGAUUGUACACAGAAGUCUAGACAAAGUAAUACCCAGAGGCUAACAUGGAUUGUCCGCAGAGGGUGAACGUCUGGGAACAUUUUUGACAUCUCUGCUCUUUCAUUUUCUCUCUUUUCUGUUUAAGUGGAAUGAGUAGUCCUUUUACCCAGAGGGGGAGGUAGUGUUCUAGCCUGGGAGGUCCUGACGCUCUUCCAUAAGGCCCCAAGGUGGAAACCUGCUUCACAGCAGUCCGCCAGCCUCUGCUGACUGUGCCUUCCCCAUUUCCAGAGGUGCGCAGCUCGCGUCCUGGCUGGACUGCCCACGCUGUUUCCUUCCUGCAGGUGCAAGGCCAAGGCCGGUGCAAAGGGGCCGGGUUUCAGUGUCACUCUGGUUCCCAUGUGUAAAGCGCCUCGUCCAGGUUACAAAGUCAGCACAAAGCAGCUGCCCCUGUCCUAUCUCAGGGCUCCUCAGACUUCUGGCAUCUGGGCACUCCCACACCUUUGCCAUGCGGACGCCUUUCUGCUACCCCAAGUCACUUAACUUUGUCUAAGCUGGCUCAAUUAGUUUUACUUCAAUAAAUUUACUAUUAAAGGAAAUUUAUUGCCUCUAUGUCCACCAAAAGGUAUCCGCAAGAAUAUUUCUAGAAAUUUUGUUUGUAAUUGCCAUUACAGGAAACCACUCCCAAAUCCAUCCAAAGACAGUUCAGUGAGCUGUUGUCCAUUCACACCAUGGGAGAUCACAUGGCCACAGUAAAGAACACGUCACAGACACACACAACAUGGAUGAGUCUCAUGGACGCUGCAGGGAGCCACAGACAGCGACAGAGGACGGGCACACGCUGCGUGGUUCUGUAUAUGAAAUUCCAGAGUGAAAUCCCGCUAUAGGGAGAGAAGUGGAAAUAGCAGGGACCCCAGCAGGUGUGGGUGCUACUGACUGGGAGGCCGGGCGGGACACGCCUUCUGGGGGAGACUUCUUGGGGCUGGAGAUGUGCUUUCUCCUGAUCUGAGUAGCAGUUUCCUGGGCACAUACACGCAAAGCGCAUCAAGCUGUGCAUUUCAAAUCAGUUCCCUUUACACUCUGAGAGUUCCCUUAACAUCUGUCUAUCUGUCUAUUUAUCUAUCAUCCAGAGUACAUAGAUAAAUAGAUAGACAGAUAGACAGAUGUUUCAACAGAAAUAAGUUAAGAAAUAGGCCAGGCACUGUGGCUCAUGCAUAAUCCCAGCACUUUGGGAAACUGAGGAGGGUGAAUCACAAGGUCAGGAGUUCGAGACCAGCCUGGCCACAUGGUAAAACCCUGGCUCUACUAAAAAUACAAAAAUUAGCCAGGUGUGGUGAUGGGCACCUAUAGCCCCAGCUACUCAGGAAGCUGAGGCAGGAGAAUCGCUUGAACCCGGAGGUGGAGGUUGCAGUGAACUGAGAUUGCGCCACUGUGCUCCAGCCUGGGCAACAGAGCCAGACUCUGUCUCAAAAAAAAAAAAAAAGUUGAGUUAAGAAAUAGAGGA
This is a non-coding RNA of Callithrix jacchus (white-tufted-ear marmoset), 5827 nucleotides long. The record is from RefSeq and is a predicted model, not a curated record. Lineage: Eukaryota; Metazoa; Chordata; Mammalia; Primates; Cebidae.